RNAcentral lists this ribosomal RNA (420 nucleotides) under uncultured bacterium. Its description in RNAcentral is "bacterial SSU rRNA". It matches the Rfam family "Bacterial small subunit ribosomal RNA", at positions 355 to 774 of the family's 1533-position model. The record is from RNAcentral.
UAAGGAAUAUUGGUCAAUGGACGCAAGUCUGAACCAGCCAUGCCGCGUGAAGGAUGAAGGUCCUCUGGAUUGUAAACUUCUUUUAUCUGGACGAAAACGGGAUUUUUAUCUCAAUUGACGGUACCAGAGGAAUAAGCACCGGCUAACUCCGUGCCAGCAGCCGCGGUAAUACGGAGGGUGCGAGCGUUAUCCGGAUUUACUGGGUUUAAAGGGUGCGUAGGUGGGCUUAUAAGUCAGUGGUGAAAUCUCCGAGCUUAACUUGGAAACUGCCGUUGAUACUAUAGGUCUUGAAUUAUCUGGAGGUAAGCGGAAUAUGUCAUGUAGCGGUGAAAUGCUUAGAUAUGACAUAGAACACCAAUUGCGAAGGCAGCUUACUACAUAUAAAUUGACGCUGAGGCACGAAAGUGUGGGGAUCAAACA